AUGGACACCGGGGUGCCUGCCUUUCCCAUGAGCCCGGUGAUGGCGGAGAUGUUCCGGCAGCUAGGCUUUGACCCGGAUCAGGUGGAGGGCUUCCUCGCCCACUUCCUCUCCUACACCCACUGCGCCCUCCCGGAGCCGCCCGUGACGGCCGACGCUCGCCUCUUCGCCCUCCUCCCCGACAACUCCGUCGACCACUUCAGCCGCCCCCCCGACGCGCUCCUCGGCAAUGUCGUCUCCCGCCUCCCCGUCAAGGACGCCGCGCGCACCGCCGCGCUCUCCCGGCGCUGGCGCGGGGUCUGGCGCUCCGCCCCGCUCGUCCUCGUCGACGCCCACGUCCACCCCGCGGGCACCGCGUACGCGCAGCGCGUCGCCUGCGCCGUCUCCCGCGUCCUCGCCGCGCACCCGGGCCCCUUCCGCUGCGUCCACCUCACCGAGUCCCCCCUGCUCACGGCCUGGCUCCAGAUCGUCGCCGGCAAGGGCAUCCAGGAGCUCACCCUCGUCAACCGCCCGUGGCCGCUCGAGAUCUUUCUCCCGUCCACCUUCUUCUUAGGCAUGGAAACCCUCACCCGACUCUACCUCGGCCACUGGAUCUUCCCCGUCACGGCCGACCUCCCGCGCGCCCCCUGCUUCCCCAACCUCCAUGAGCUCGGGCUCUGCGACGUCGUCAUGAAGACCGGGGAUUUGGACUUCAUCCUCGACAGGAGCCCCGUGCUGGAGACGCUAUCUCUCGAAGGGGGGAGGCUCGAGCAUUGCCUCCGCCUUGUCAGCCAAAGCCUCCGGCGCGUGCAGAUCAUCGGGUGCUCGGUUCAAGAAAUCUUCGUGGUGGACGCGCCGUGCCUUGAGCGGCUCAUCCAGUCGGGAGGCUGGUGCCCUGAAGACACUGACGGCAACUGCACCAGGCUAAAGAUUGGCCAUGCCCCCAUGCUGCACAUGUUGGGAUACUUGGAGUUGGAUUCAGGGCACGUCCUAGAGGUCGGCAAGACCAUCAUCAAGGCUGGGACAAGGGUGAGCCAGAGCACCAUGGUACCAAGCGUGGGGAUCCUGGCUUUGGAGGUGCGUUUCGGAGUCCGCAACGAUGCCAAGAUGGUUCCCAGUGUCCUCAGGUGCUUUCCGAAUGUCGAGACGCUCCACAUCAAGUCUGCGAAAACUGAUCGAUCCACUGGCAAGCUGAACCUGAAGUUCUGGCACGAGUGUGGUGACAUAGAGUGCAUCCGGUCGCGCAUCAAGCUGCUGGUUUUCCAUGAUUUCCGAGGGGGCCGAGGCGAGCUCGCCUUCCUCAAAUACUUCUUUGAGACCGCAUUGGUGCUGAAGAAGGUGGUGAUUCUGUUCGCCGUUGGCUUCGCUUCGACGGAGGAGGCGCGGUCCAAACUGUCGAGCUUGGGGUCGGUGAAACGGGCCAGCGAAACCUCUACAGUGCUGGUCACCGUACCUUCUGAUCCUAAAGAAGGUUCCAUUCGGAGCUUCAAAAUAGGAUCUCGGUUUUCUGCUGACGACCCUUUUGCAAACUACAGUACUAAAGUCACAGCAAGCGAACUGCAGUACCUACGUAGGAGUAUAUUUCAUCCUGCAAAGUAA
RNAcentral lists this ribosomal RNA (1575 nucleotides) under Triticum aestivum (bread wheat). Its description in RNAcentral is "partial small subunit ribosomal RNA". The record is from RNAcentral. Lineage: Eukaryota; Viridiplantae; Streptophyta; Magnoliopsida; Poales; Poaceae.